This 422-nucleotide ribosomal RNA is filed under the name uncultured bacterium. RNAcentral's name for it is "partial 16S ribosomal RNA". It matches the Rfam family "Bacterial small subunit ribosomal RNA", at positions 359 to 773 of the family's 1533-position model. The record is from RNAcentral.
GAAUUUUGGACAAUGGGGGCAACCCUGAUCCAGCCAUCCCGCGUGUGCGAUGAAGGCCUUCGGGUUGUAAAGCACUUUUGGCAGGGAAGAAAAGGCUCUGGCAAAUCCCUGGCGCUGCUGACGGUACCGUCCGAAGAACCACCGGCUACCUACGUGCCAGCAGCCGAGGUAAUACGUAUGGUGCAAGCGUUAAUCGGAAUUACUGGGCGUAAAGCGUGCGCAGGCGGUUCGGCAAGAAGGAUGUGAAAUCCCAGGGCUUAACCUUGGAACUGCAUUCUUAACUGCCGGGCUAGAGUAUGUCAGAGGGGGGUAGAAUUCCGCGCGUAGCAGUGAAAUGCGUAGAGAUGCGGAGGAAUACCGAUGGCGAAGACAGCCCCCUGGGAUAAUACUGACGCUCAUGCACGAAAGCGUGGGGAGCAAAC